AGGGGGUGCGAGCGUUAAUCGGAAUUACUGGGCGUAAAGCGCGCGUAGGUGGUUCGUUAAGUUGGAUGUGAAAUCCCCGGGCUCAACCUGGGAACUGCAUUCAAAACUGUCGAGCUAGAGUAUGGUAGAGGGUGGUGGAAUUUCCUGUGUAGCGGUGAAAUGCGUAGAUAUAGGAAGGAACACCAGUGGCGAAGGCGACCACCUGGACUGACACUGACACUGAGGUGCGAAAGCGUGGAGCAAACAGGAUUAGAUACCCUGGUAGUCCACGCCGUAAACGAUGUCAACUAGCCGUUGGGAGCCUUGAGCUCUUAGUGGCGCASUAACGCAUUAAGUUGACCGCCUGGGGAGUUCGGCCGCAAGGUU
This 366-nucleotide ribosomal RNA is filed under the name uncultured bacterium. RNAcentral's name for it is "bacterial SSU rRNA". It matches the Rfam family "Bacterial small subunit ribosomal RNA", at positions 527 to 895 of the family's 1533-position model. The record is from RNAcentral.